This 422-nucleotide ribosomal RNA is filed under the name uncultured bacterium. RNAcentral's name for it is "bacterial SSU rRNA". It matches the Rfam family "Bacterial small subunit ribosomal RNA", at positions 355 to 774 of the family's 1533-position model. The record is from RNAcentral.
UGAGGAAUAUUGGGCAAUGCCCGAAAGGGUGACCCAGCAACGCCGCGUGGAGGAUGAAGGUCGUAAGAUUGUAAACUCCUGUUAGAGGGGAAGAAUAACUAAGUUUGGAGCUUAGUAUGACUGUACCCUCAGAGAAAGCCCCGGCUAACUACGUGCCUGCAGCCGCGGUAAUACGUAGGGGGCAAGCGUUGUCCGGAUUUACUGGGUGUAAAGGGCGCGCAGGCGGAAUGGAAAGUCAGUGGUGAAAUCCUACAGCUUAACUGUAGAACUGCCUUUGAUACUUUCAUUCUUGAGUUCGGGAGAGAGAGACGGAAUUCCAGGUGUAGUGGUGAAAUACGUAGAUAUCUGGAAGAACACCAGUUGCGAAGGCGGUCUCUUGGUCCGAUACUGACGCUGAGGCGCGAAAGCGUGGGGAGCAAACA